This 497-nucleotide ribosomal RNA is filed under the name uncultured bacterium. RNAcentral's name for it is "partial 16S ribosomal RNA". It matches the Rfam family "Bacterial small subunit ribosomal RNA", at positions 28 to 507 of the family's 1533-position model. The record is from RNAcentral.
GAUGAACGCUGGCGGCGUGCCUAAUACAUGCAAGUCGAGCGAACGGACGAGAAGCUUGCUUCUCUGAUGUUAUCGGCGGACGGGUGAGUAACACGUGGAUAACCUACCUAUAAGACUGGGAUAACUUCGGGAAACCGGAGCUAAUACCGGAUAAUAUUUUGAACCGCAUGGUUCAAAAGUAAAAGACGGUCUUGCUGUCACUUAUAGAUGGAUCCGCGCUGCAUUAGCUAGUUGGUAAGGUAACGGCUUACCAAGGCAACGAUGCAUAGCCGACCUGAGAGGGUGAUCGGCCCAACUGGAACUGAGACACGGUCCAGACUCCUACGGGAGGAAGCAGUAGGGAAUCUUCCGAAAUGGGCGAAAGCCUGACGGAGCAACGCCGCGUGAGUGAUGAAGGUCUUCGGAUCGUAAAACUCUGUUAUUAGGGAAGAACAUAUGUGUAAGUAAAUGUGCACAUCUUGACGGUACCUAAUCAGAAAGCCACGGCUAACUACGUG